This 395-nucleotide ribosomal RNA is filed under the name uncultured bacterium. Its description in RNAcentral is "partial 16S ribosomal RNA". It matches the Rfam family "Bacterial small subunit ribosomal RNA", at positions 523 to 918 of the family's 1533-position model. The record is from RNAcentral.
AUACGUAGGGUGCAAGCGUUAAUCGGAAUUACUGGGCGUAAAGCGUGCGCAGGCGGUUUUGUAAGACAGAGGUGAAAUCCCCGGGCUCAACCUGGGAACUGCCUUUGUGACUGCAAGGCUAGAGUACGGCAGAGGGGGAUGGAAUUCCGCGUGUAGCAGUGAAAUGCGUAGAUAUGCGGAGGAACACCGAUGGCGAAGGCAAUCCCCUGGGCUUGUACUGACGCUCAUGCCCGAAAGCGUGGGGAGCAAACAGGAUUAGAUACCCUGGUAGUCCACGCCCUAACCGAUGUCAACUGGUGGUUGGGUCUUCAUUGACUCAGUAACGAAGCUAACGCGUGAAGUUGACCGCCUGGGGAGUACGGCCGCAAGGUUGAAACUCAAAUGAAUUGACGGGG